Molecule: ribosomal RNA, 997 nt
Filed under: Streptococcus anginosus
Lineage: Bacteria; Bacillati; Bacillota; Bacilli; Lactobacillales; Streptococcaceae
Description: bacterial SSU rRNA
Source: RNAcentral
UAAUACAUGCAAGUAGGACGCACAGUUUAUACCGUAGCUUGCUACACCAUAGACUGUGAGUUGCGAACGGGUGAGUAACGCGUAGGUAACCUGCCUAUUAGAGGGGGAUAACUAUUGGAAACGAUAGCUAAUACCGCAUAACAGUAUGUAACACAUGUUAGAUGCUUGAAAGAUGCAAUUGCAUCGCUAGUAGAUGGACCUGCGUUGUAUUAGCUAGUAGGUAGGGUAAUGGCCUACCUAGGCGACGAUACAUAGCCGACCUGAGAGGGUGAUCGGCCACACUGGGACUGAGACACGGCCCAGACNCCUACGGGAGGCAGCAGNNNGGAAUCUUCGGCAAUGGGGGGAACCCUGACCGAGCAACGCCGCGUGAGUGAAGAAGGUUUUCGGAUCSUAAAGCUCUGUUGUUAAGGAAGAACGAGUGUGAGAAUGGAAAGUUCAUACUGUGACGGUACUUAACCAGAAAGGGACGGCUAACUACGUGCCAGCAGCCGCGGUAAUACGUAGGUCCCGAGCGUUGUCCGGAUUUAUUGGGCGUAAAGCGAGCGCAGGCGGUUAGAAAAGUCUGAAGUGAAAGGCAGUGGCUCAACCAUUGUAGGCUUUGGAAACUGUUUAACUUGAGUGCAGAAGGGGAGAGUGGAAUUCCAUGUGUAGCGGUGAAAUGCGUAGAUAUAUGGAGGAACACCGGUGGCGAAAGCGGCUCUCUGGUCUGUAACUGACGCUGAGGCUCGAAAGCGUGGGGAGCGAACAGGAUUAGAUACCCUGGUAGUCCACGCCGUAAACGAUGAGUGCUAGGUGUUGGGUCCUUUCCGGGACUCAGUGCCGCAGCUAACGCAUUAAGCACUCCGCCUGGGGAGUACGACCGCAAGGUUGAAACUCAAAGGAAUUGACGGGGGCCCGCACAAGCGGUGGAGCAUGUGGUUUAAUUCGAAGCAACGCGAAGAACCUUACCAGGUCUUGACAUCCCGAUGCUAUUUCUGGAGACAGGAAGUUUCUG